RNAcentral lists this ribosomal RNA (274 nucleotides) under uncultured bacterium. RNAcentral's name for it is "partial 16S ribosomal RNA". It matches the Rfam family "Bacterial small subunit ribosomal RNA", at positions 524 to 796 of the family's 1533-position model. The record is from RNAcentral.
UACGGAGGGUGCGAGCGUUGUUCGGAAUUAUUGGGCGUAAAGCGCACGUAGGCGGCUUUGUAAGUCUCAUUGUGAAAGCCCGGGGCUCAACCCCGGGACUGCAGGGGAUACUGCGAGGCUUGAGUCAAGUAGAGGUUGGUAGAAUUCCGGGUGUAGCGGUGGAAUGCGUAGAGAUCCGGAGGAAUACCAGAGGCGAAGGCGGCCAACUGGACUUGUACUGACGCUGAGGUGCGAAAGCGUGGGGAGCGAACAGGAUUAGAAACCCCCGUAGUCC